AGUGAACGCUGGCGGUAGGCCUAACACAUGCAAGUCGAACGGCAGCACAGUAAGAGCUUGCUCUUACGGGUGGCGAGUGGCGGACGGGUGAGGAAUACAUCGGAAUCUACUUUUUCGUGGGGGGUAACGUAGGGAAACUUACGCUAAUACCGCAUACGACCUACGGGUGAAAGCAAGGGAUCUUCGGACCUUGCGCGAUUGAAUGAGCCGAUGUCGGAUUAGCUAGUUGGCGGGGUAAAGGCCCACCAAGGCGACGAUCCGUAGCUGGUCUGAGAGGAUGAUCAGCCACACUGGAACUGAGACACGGUCCAGACUCCUACGGGAGGCAGCAGUGGGGAAUAUUGGACAAAGGGCGCAAGCCUGAUCCAGCCAUACCGCGUGGGUGAAGAAGGCCUUCGGGUUGUAAAGCCCUUUUGUUGGGAAAGAAAAGCAGCAGGUUAAUACCCCGCUGUUCUGACGGUACCCAAAGAAUAAGCACCGGCUAACUUCGUG
RNAcentral lists this ribosomal RNA (492 nucleotides) under uncultured bacterium. RNAcentral's name for it is "partial 16S ribosomal RNA". It matches the Rfam family "Bacterial small subunit ribosomal RNA", at positions 29 to 507 of the family's 1533-position model. The record is from RNAcentral.